GUUGUACAAGCAUCCUUUUACUGUUGCACCGCUGGACUGAAUCGAGGUGUGAAUGAUUGUGUACGAAAAUAUUGCAACACUUGUAUGAUUCCGGCACCUGCGAAGGACACGCACCGCAGCCGGACGAACAGACACAA
Long non-coding RNA from Anopheles coluzzii, 137 nucleotides. RefSeq lists it as uncharacterized. NCBI's taxonomy places the organism in Eukaryota, Metazoa, Arthropoda, Insecta, Diptera, Culicidae. The transcript is spliced from 2 exons. The record is from RefSeq and is a predicted model, not a curated record.